GUCUUUUUGAGUAUAAUAUAAGGUUUAACCUGCCCACUGAUUAUAAAUUAAAGGGCCGCAGUAUUUUGACUGUGCAAAGGUAGCAUAAUCAUUAGUUUUUUAAUUGAGGACUUGUAUGAAUGGUUGGACGAAGUAUUAACUGUCUCUAUUUAAUAAUUAAUUAAAUUUAAUUUUUAAAUAAAAAAGUUUAAAUUUAAUUAAAAGACGAGAAGACCCUAUAGAUCUUUAUAUUUUAAAUAAUAAAAAUUUAUUAGAAUUAUAAUAUUUAUUAUUAUUUAAAUUAUUUUAUUGGGGUGAUAUAAAAAUUUAUAUAACUUUUUAUUUUAAAAAUCAUUAAUUUAUGAAUAUAUGAUCCAAUUUUAUUGAUUAAAAGAUUAAGUUACCUUAGGGAUAACAGCGUAAUUUUAUUGGAGAGUUCAUAUCGAUAAUAAAGAUUGCGACCUCGAUGUUGAAUUAAGAGUAAUUUUAGGUGUAGAAGUUUAAAAUUUUAGUCUGUUCGACUAUUAAAUU
This 510-nucleotide ribosomal RNA is filed under the name Nipponosialis kumejimae. RNAcentral's name for it is "partial 16S ribosomal RNA". The stretch from base 390 to 510 matches the Rfam family "Bacterial large subunit ribosomal RNA", at positions 2473 to 2594 of the family's 2925-position model. The record is from RNAcentral. Lineage: Eukaryota; Metazoa; Arthropoda; Insecta; Megaloptera; Sialidae.